ACUGGGGCCGCGGCUUAGUGGUAGAGCAUCCGCUUGGCGUGCUGAAGGUCCCAGGUUCAAUCACAGGCCCCUCCAGUU
Molecule: transfer RNA, 78 nt
Filed under: Sphaerodactylus townsendi
Lineage: Eukaryota; Metazoa; Chordata; Lepidosauria; Squamata; Sphaerodactylidae
Description: tRNA-Ala
Source: RNAcentral